AGGGAGUUGACAGAAUGUUUAUGUAGCUAGCUUGAAACUAGUGUUAUGUGGGUUUGAUUCCUACACUCUCUU
RNAcentral lists this transfer RNA (72 nucleotides) under Ophiarachnella gorgonia. Its description in RNAcentral is "tRNA-Ser". It matches the Rfam family "tRNA". From Rfam's summary of the family: Transfer RNA (tRNA) molecules are approximately 80 nucleotides in length. Lineage: Eukaryota; Metazoa; Echinodermata; Ophiuroidea; Amphilepidida; Ophiodermatidae. The record is from RNAcentral.